GGAAGACCGUGAUGCGGUUUGUCUACCAGAGUGACACUGCUUACAGAUGCUGUCCCACGUAGAGCUCGCUUAAAGAUGCUCGCUCGCCGCAGUGGUGACUGGGUGAGAGCGGGGAAGAGCAGGUGGAGAAAGCGAUCCAGACCAUAGGCGGCGGCCGCAGUGGGAGGGCGUUACUGCACGGAAAAGGCCGGCUUCUGCUUGAAGCUGUCCCUCUCAGUACGGCGGCCGGCCGGGGAUUGGCGCGAGGCUGUAGCUCUGAGUACGGUGGCCCGGUAGGGCCGAGCGUGAGGCUCCGACUCCCGUGACCUGGCGAGACCUGUGGCUGCGGCGCCGAGGUCCGAGCGUGUGUGCGCGCGGGUUGUGUCUGUGGCGGCGGCUAAGGCCGGAGCGUUUCGCGGGUUGCUGGCUCGUGCACGUGUUCAGUUCUCCAGUCCCGUCGCGGUGAGGGGUGGACUUGAGGCUGGCAGUCCAGGAGGUUGGGACUUAGUGUCUCUGGCCCCCGAGAGACCGGGUGUCUUGGGGGCUCUGACCCCAGAGGAGACCCUGCGGCCCCGUCUGGCCCCGGGGGCUUUGGGCGCCUCCCUCGUGGCUACUGUCUGGUGCCGUCCGUCCCGGGCUCCGAAGCUCGCGAACGCGAGCCUCCGCGGCAGCCGCCCUCCUCCCUGAGGCCCCUAGGUGUCCGGGCGCCGGCCGGGGCUCGCCGGCCCGGCCUCUCCGUUAAAAGAGAAGAAAACCCCGAAUCCCCACGAUCUCGUUGUCACCUCGGUCACUGCUUCAGACAGUGGCACAGCCUGGGUUUUGAGUCACUGGAAGUACCCAGAGGGAUUGGAGAAGCUUUGAAAGGACCUUGUGUUUUUGAGGCAGGCGGCAGAACCACUGAGCUAAAUCCCUGGCCCUCACAGAAUUCUUUAUUGGGAAAAGAUUAAGAAGGUAGACAUUCAAACAUUUUCUAUUUUUCUUGAGAUUCCCACUUUUUAUUAGUGUAUAUUUGUGAUACAUAGUAG
Long non-coding RNA from Heterocephalus glaber (naked mole-rat), 1004 nucleotides. The record is from Ensembl. Lineage: Eukaryota; Metazoa; Chordata; Mammalia; Rodentia; Bathyergidae.